This is a long non-coding RNA of Fundulus heteroclitus (mummichog), 389 nucleotides long. RefSeq lists it as uncharacterized. NCBI's taxonomy places the organism in Eukaryota, Metazoa, Chordata, Actinopteri, Cyprinodontiformes, Fundulidae. The record is from RefSeq and is a predicted model, not a curated record. The transcript is spliced from 2 exons.
GGAGGAUGCUCCGGAGGAUCCUCAGCCGUUGGUAAAUGGGACGGUCUAGCCUUUGGAGCACUUCCUGGUUGCGAUACGACGUCAUCACGUCUACCCCAAGCCCGGCGAAAACAGCACCAGCGCCGAUAAACGACGCAAAAAAAUGGAUAUUGAAUUUAUUUAUUUUUUAUUUACUUGUUAUUGGUGGAGGAGAGUCGGUUUACACGGCUUCGGCGGCAGUAAAACCGGCGACGAAUUUUUCUCAGGCUGGAGGAGCGCAGUGGAGAGACACGGCCGAUGUACUGCUGCAUCAACUUAAAUGCACAACAUCUGCCUGGGAGCCGGUGACAUCAUGGCCCCAGACGAUGAAGUGCAGGACGACAUGCCAGAGGAUGAGGAGGGGGAGAACG